This 427-nucleotide ribosomal RNA is filed under the name uncultured bacterium. RNAcentral's name for it is "partial 16S ribosomal RNA". It matches the Rfam family "Bacterial small subunit ribosomal RNA", at positions 355 to 774 of the family's 1533-position model. The record is from RNAcentral.
UGGGGAAUAUUGGACAAUGGGCGAAAGCCUGAUCCAGCCAUGCCGCGUGUGUGAAGAAGGUCUUCGGAUUGUAAAGCACUUUAAGUUGGGAGGAAGGGCAUUAACCUAAUACGUUAGUGUUUUGACGUUACCGACAGAAUAAGCACCGGCUAACUCUGUGCCAGCAGCCGCGGUAAUACAGAGGGUGCAAGCGUUAAUCGGAAUUACUGGGCGUAAAGCGCGCGUAGUUGGUUUGUUAAGUUGGAUGGGAAAUCCCCGGGCUAAACCUGGGAACUGCAUUCAAAACUGACUGACUAGAGUAUGGUAGAGGGUGGUGGAAUUUCCUGUGUAGCGGUGAAAUGCGUAGAUAUAGGAAGGAACACCAGUGGCGAAGGCGACCACCUGGACUAAUACUGACACUGAGGUGCGAAAGCGUGGGGAGCAAACA